This 848-nucleotide ribosomal RNA is filed under the name Parodontophora sp. HHS-2011. RNAcentral describes it as "SSU rRNA". It matches the Rfam family "Eukaryotic small subunit ribosomal RNA", at positions 129 to 986 of the family's 1831-position model. The record is from RNAcentral. Lineage: Eukaryota; Metazoa; Nematoda; Chromadorea; Araeolaimida; Axonolaimidae.
ACUAUCCUACUUGGAUAACUGUGGUAAUUCUAGAGCUAAUACACGCACCAAGCUCUGACCGCAAGGGAUGAGCGCAUUUAUUAGAACAAAAACCAAUCAGGCUUUGCCUGUUAUUGGUGGAUCUGAAUAACUCAGCUGAUCGCACGGUCUCGCACCGGCGACGCAUCUUCCAAGUGUCUGCCUUAUCAACUUUUGAUGGUAGUUUAUGCGACUACCAUGGUUGUAACGGGUAACGGAGAAUAAGGGUUCGACUCCGGAGAGGGAGCCUGAGAAACGGCUACCACAUCCAAGGAAGGCAGCAGGCGCGCAAAUUACCCAAUCUCAGAACGAGGAGGUAGUGACGAAAAAUAACGAGACGGUUCUCUUUGAGGCCCGUUAUCGGAAUGAGUACAAUUCAAACCCUUUAACGAGGAUCUACGAGAGGGCAAGUCUGGUGCCAGCAGCCGCGGUAAUUCCAGCUCUCGAAGUGUAUAUCAUUGUUGUUGCGGUUAAAAAGCUCGUAGUUGGAUCUGCGUCUUUGGAGCCGGUCUUCCCAACGGGAUAGCACUGGUCUCCUGGACUAAAAUGGCUGGUUGUGCCUUGGUGCUCUUCACCGGGUGCCUUGGCUGACUAGCAAGUUUACUUUGAAAAAAUUAGAGUGCUCAAAACAAGCGUUUGCUUGAAUACUGGUGCAUGGAAUAAUGGAAUAGGAUCUCGGUUCUAUUUUGUUGGUUUUCGGAACAUGAGAUAAUGAUUAAGAGGAACAGACGGGGGCAUUCGUAUUGCAGCGCUAGAGGUGAAAUUCUUGGACCGCUGCAAGACGAACAACUGCGAAGGCAUUUGCCAAGAAUGUUCAUAAUCAAGAACGA